UUAAUGGUAAUGAACCGGAGAGUAGCUAUCGUGGAUUAUUAAGAGAGUCUCGCAAAGUUGGGAAGAGAUUGAUUGCGAUAGUGAACCACACCGGUGAGCCGACCAGCUGAAAGGUUAUAAUUAGGCUGCUCCGGGACCACUCGUUAUCAGGGCUGAAUUUUAUCCAGCAUGAGGAUCGUUUCGCAAGGGGCGAUCGAAUUUGAGGUGGGACCACGCGAAAAGCGUCCUCUUU
Molecule: regulatory RNA element, 232 nt
Rfam family: T-box leader
About the family: Uncharged tRNA acts as the effector for transcription antitermination of genes in the T-box leader family. T-boxes are found upstream of many aminoacyl-tRNA synthetase genes and some amino acid biosynthetic genes usually in Gram-positive bacteria. The anticodon of a specific tRNA base pairs to a specifier sequence within the T-box motif, and the NCCA acceptor tail of the tRNA base pairs to a conserved bulge in the T-box antiterminator hairpin.
Source: Rfam